ACUCAAAUGAAUUGACGGGGGCCCGCACAAGCGGAGGAACAUGUGGUUUAAUUCGAUGAUACGCGAGGAACCUUACCCGGGUUUAAAUGUAGAUUGCAUAAGGUAGAAAUAUUUUUUUCCUUCACAGGACUAUCUACAAGGUGCUGCAUGGUUGUCGUCAGCUCGUGCCGUGAGGUGUCGGGUUAAGUCCCAUAACGAGCGCAACCCUUGCUAUUAGUUGCCAGCAUGUAAUGAUGGGAACUCUAAUAGGACUGCCGCCGUAAGGCGUGAGGAAGGAGGGGAUGACGUCAAAUCAGCACGGCCCUUACAUCCGGGGCGACACACGUGUUACAAUGGCCGGUACAGAGGGCAGCUACAUAGCGAUAUGAUGCUAAUCUCAAAAACCGGUCGUAGUUCGGAUCGGAGUCUGCAACUCGACUCCGUGAAGCUGGAUUCGCUAGUAAUCGCAUAUCAGCCAUGAUGCGGUGAAUACGUUCCCGGGCCUUGUACACACCGCCCGU
RNAcentral lists this ribosomal RNA (500 nucleotides) under uncultured bacterium. Its description in RNAcentral is "partial 16S ribosomal RNA". It matches the Rfam family "Bacterial small subunit ribosomal RNA", at positions 899 to 1397 of the family's 1533-position model. The record is from RNAcentral.